AAACUACUCCCUCCGUCCUAAAAUAGUUGUCAUCAAAAUGGACAAAAAAGGAUGUAUCUAGAACUAAAAUACAUCUAGAUACAUCCCCUUUUAUUCAUUUUGAUGACAAGUAUUUCCGGACAGAGGGAGUACUAC
Triticum aestivum (bread wheat) is the source of this 135-nucleotide non-coding RNA. The record is from Rfam. NCBI's taxonomy places the organism in Eukaryota, Viridiplantae, Streptophyta, Magnoliopsida, Poales, Poaceae.